CCAACAACCCUCUUUUAACCUGAAUUAACCCAUUUCACGCCGACCCUUCUCCUCUUCACCACAACUUAUGGCAACCACGACUUCACCUACCACUAUCUCCAAUAGCAACAUCAACAAUAAUCAUGAAGUCUCUCCUUUCCUUUUCACCACAAACAAACCGAUAUUCUCACCAUUGUCUCUUUCCUCAUCUACCACCAUCAUUAUUAAAAAAAACCC
This 216-nucleotide long non-coding RNA is filed under the name Populus trichocarpa (black cottonwood). RNAcentral describes it as "long non-coding RNA (PTRI_LNC000893)". The record is from RNAcentral. Lineage: Eukaryota; Viridiplantae; Streptophyta; Magnoliopsida; Malpighiales; Salicaceae.